Dermacentor silvarum is the source of this 79-nucleotide non-coding RNA. The record is from the annotation of a RefSeq genome assembly. Lineage: Eukaryota; Metazoa; Arthropoda; Arachnida; Ixodida; Ixodidae.
GCGUCGGUGGUUCAGUGGUAUAAUACUUGCCUGCCACGCGGGUGGCCGGGUGGCCCGGGUUCGAUUCCCGGCCGACGCA